GAUGAACGCUGGCGGCGUGCCUAAUACAUGCAAGUCGAGCGAACAGACGGGGAGUUCCUUCCUUUGACGUUAGCGGCGGACGGGUGAGUAAGUAGUGGGUAACCUACCUGUAAGACACGGCUAACUACGGGAAACCGGAGCUAAUACCGGCUGAUAUAUUGAACUGCAUGGCACCAUAGUGAAACGCGAGUUUGCUGUCUCUUAUAGAGGGAUCCGCGCCGCAUUAGCUAGUUGGUAAGGUCACGGCUUACCAAGGCCACGAUGCGUGGCGGACCUGAGAGGGUGAGCAGCCACCCUACACCUGAGACACGGUCCAGACCCCACCGGGAGGCAGCGGAGGGGAAUCUUACACAAUGGGCGAAAGGCUAGCGGAGCAAAGCCGCGUGGGUGAUGAAGGUCUUCGGAUCUUAAAACUCUGCUGUUAGGGAGGAACAAAUGUGUGAGUAACUAUGCACGUCUUGACGGUACCUAAUGAGAAAGCCACGGCUAACUACGUG
Molecule: ribosomal RNA, 497 nt
Filed under: uncultured bacterium
Lineage: Bacteria
Description: partial 16S ribosomal RNA
Rfam family: Bacterial small subunit ribosomal RNA
Source: RNAcentral